RNAcentral lists this long non-coding RNA (657 nucleotides) under Sinocyclocheilus anshuiensis. Its description in RNAcentral is "lncRNA (ENSSANG00000047779.1)". Lineage: Eukaryota; Metazoa; Chordata; Actinopteri; Cypriniformes; Cyprinidae. The record is from RNAcentral.
UGGUGGUGUCCCACUCUCAUGUAACCACUUCCUCUUGUUCCUGUCUGCAGACUCUCUGAGUUUGAUCAGAAGUGCUUGAAAUGUUGAAGGGAGAGUGAGAGGUUCAUUUCUACUUGCUGCUGUCAUGGUUUUUCAAACUAGGAUCCUGCAUCUGAAUUUGAGUGUCAUCCUUACUUUGCUGACCAAUGCAGAUUAUUCCAAAUCCAAUCAAGAGCCAAUUAUUAAGCAGCACAUCAACAAAACAGUGUUUGUGGGGGAAACAGUUACACUUCACUGCAACAAAACCCAAUAUGAUGAUGAUUUCACAUGGAAAAUGAACAGCUUUGUUAUUUUUAGGCAGGACUCUGAAAGUAACAGAACACUGAGAAACUUUAGCUCAAACAGGAUUCACAUCGACCCAGCAGCUCCAAGAGAAUUAACAAUACAUCAAAUACAAGCAUCUGAUGCAGGAAACCUCAGCUGUUACCCAGCAGCAAUAAGAUGGACAUUAACAAUAACAGAAAUCCAGAUCAGAUCAGAAUCACUCAAACAAAUGCCGUUGUACAUCAUCAUUUCGUGUUCUGGAGUCAUUAUGAUCUGUCUAAUUAUCACAAUCAGCAUCUGCAUUCACAGGAGAUGUAAAAACAGCAUACAGAGUCACAGAGAAAUGGGACAGGA